CGUCCUAUUAGCUAGUUGGUGAGGUAAUGGCUCACCAAGGCUACGAUGGGUAGGGGUUCUUAGUGGAAGGUCCCCCACACUGGCACUGAGAUACGGGCCAGACUCCUACGGGAGGCAGCAGUAGGGAAUAUUGGUCAAUGGGCGCAAGCCUGAACCAGCCAUGCCGCGUGCAGGAUGAAGGCUCUCUGAGUUGUAAACUGCUUUUGUACAGGAGCAAAAAAAUCCCUGCGGGGGUUCUUGAGAGUACUGUAAGAAUAAGCACCGGCUAAUUCCGUGCCAGCAGCCGCGGUAAUACAGGAGGUGCAAGCGUUAUCCGGUUUUAUUGGGUUUAAAGGGUGCGUAGGCGGCUUAUUAAGUCAGUUGUGAAAUCCUAGUGCUUAACGCUAGAACUGCAAUUGAUACUAUU
Molecule: ribosomal RNA, 406 nt
Filed under: Cardinium endosymbiont of Bemisia tabaci
Lineage: Bacteria; Pseudomonadati; Bacteroidota; Cytophagia; Cytophagales; Amoebophilaceae
Description: bacterial SSU rRNA
Rfam family: Bacterial small subunit ribosomal RNA
Source: RNAcentral